Molecule: long non-coding RNA, 4238 nt
Organism: Meriones unguiculatus (Mongolian gerbil)
Lineage: Eukaryota; Metazoa; Chordata; Mammalia; Rodentia; Muridae
Exons: 4
Source: RefSeq, a predicted model, not a curated record
UAAACCUUGCCAUCCUAUCCUCUCUGUUUGUAGAAGCUGUUGUAUUUUCCACUGUUUGUUGUUUGUUCAGAUUAAUGAAUAAUUUCCUCAAGUCUGCCUUCUAUUUAUAAAGCAUGCUUUCAACAUUUGUCUCCUUAUUCAAUCCAUUUAAUUUUUUUCCAGUGGUACUUUUAUUAGUGAUUAAUGUUUUUUACAAGUCUGUUUAUCCUUUUUCAUACUAUCAUUCUAUUUCAUCUUGGGUUUUUGUUCCUUACCUCUUUAAUAAUUUCAAUAUGCUUAGACUUGUUUCCUUAAAAUAAUUCCCUUUUUAAAGUAAAUGUUUUGUUUUGGGUUUUUUUUUUUUUGUUUGUUUGUUUUUUGGCUUGGUUUGUUUUGUUUUUGAGACGGAGUUUCUUUAUUUAACCCUGGCUGUCUCAGAACUCUCUAGACUGGGCUGGCCUUGAGCUCACCUGCUUCUGCCUCCUGAGUGUUUGGAUUAAAGGCAUGUGCCACCACUGUGCAUACAUAUAAUGGGGGGGGCGCAUGUGUGUGGAGGGCGGAGGACAACUUUGUGGAGUAUUCUUUCACUUUUACAUGGGUGCUGGAGAUCAAAUUCAGAUUGUCAGGCUAUGUAGCCAGUGUCUUUAUCCACUGAGUCCUCUCACUGGCCCCUGAUAGUUUUCUUCCAUCAGGUUCUUGGGAAGUAAUUUUCUUUGUUGCAUUUACUGACUCUAAUCAUGGUGAUUCAAUUUUUCAUGGGUUUUAAAAUUUUUACUAUGAGAUAAUCUUCCUGGAGGUUGUUACCAAUUGAAGGCUGCAUGCAUGUGAAAUGUAUGCCCAUUUUGAGAAUUUCUACAAGCCCAGUUUUUUGUGCCAACUGUUAAUGACCUGUAAAAACAAAGUUGUUAAGUAUGGAGAAUCAGAAGGCCUCCCUUAUAUUGGACAUUAAAACCACCAGGCACACAGCCCUGCCUAAAGUCAGAUUCCUCAUAGGCUGGUCUCUUCUAUAAAAUGUCAGAUAGAAAGACUCUACCUACUAGCAUGGUGAGAGGGCACAAACAUGUUCUUUCUAUAUAGGGGCAUAGAUAAAUUAUUCUAACAAAAAAUCAAAACACCAAAUGUACACCACUUGCAAGGGGCCUGAUAUGAGGCCCAAUUUCCACCUCUUGAUUUGGUCCCCAAGAUAAAAAAAUAAAAAUUAGUAUACAGGAUCAGUCUACACCUGAAAUGUAUGUGUUUACAUACAAGGUGUGAUGACUGGUCUUGGAUGUCAACUUGACUACAUCUGGAAUUAACUAAAACCCAGAUACCUGGGCACACCUAUGAGGGAAUUUUUCUUAAUUAAAUCAUUUGAAAUGGGAAGAUCUACUUCUAUUCCAGAUCUUUGGAGUAGGAAGAUAUACCUUUAAUCCAUAUCUUUUGAAGUAGGAAUAUUCAUUUUUAAUCUGGUUCACACCUUCUAUGGAAGCCUAUAUAAAGGACAUAGAAGAAUAAAGCUUGCUGUCUCUCUCUGACUGUUUUAUUGCUCUCAAUAGCAACUCCAUUCCUUCAGUAACAUUAGAGCUUACUUCUGGAUUCCAGCAUAUGCUGAAGACCACAUGAGGUGGACUGUACAGCUAUUGGAUUCUUGAACCUUUCAUUGGUAGAUAGCCAUUAUUAGACUAGCUGGACUACAGACUGCUGUAAGCCAUUUAAAUGCCAUAUAUAUAUAGAUAUAGAUUUAUAUAUAUGAAUUUAUGAAUCUAUAUGAUAUAGAUUAUAGAAUGAUUCAUUCUAUAAUUUCUGUUCAUCUAGAGAACCCUAAUACACAAAAAGAGUCUGACAUUACCUUGGAGUUGCCAAGCUAUGGUUCUAGGGUUCUGGCUCAUGGAGAAAGCCUGUUUAAUUAUUAGAGUAUGAUGGUUCAUAUAAAUUUACAAGUUGACUGAAUUGAGAAUUGCCUAAUCAGUAAAACAAACCUCUGGGUAUGUCUGUGGUGGUAUGCCACAGAAGGUUAGAAUGUGAAGCUUUGUCCUAAUCAAUGGCGUCAUCCCUUGAAGGAUUCUUAAUAUGAUGGCAUCACUAGAGGUGGAAGAAGGUAGAGGAUCCCACUUGGGGAAGUGAGUUACUGGGGCAUGCCUUUGGAGGAUACAUUUUAUUCUGGUCCCUUCCUAUGAUCUUUUCUGAUUCCUAGAUAUGUUAACUGCUUUUCUCUAUCAUGCUCCCUCCAUCAUGGUGGACUGACCCCUCUGAAAGAAGGAGCUCAAAUAAACCUUUCUUCCUUCAAGUUGUUCUUGCAGGUCCAGUACACAGGGACAAUGGAGGUAGUGUACAAGUACAUGAGCUAUGGGAAGAAAGAAAGGCAGGUCUAAAAGUGCUGUGUCCUUGAGGCCUAAGUUUUUGGUUUUUCUCCAACAACUCCUCCCCAUUUUUCGCUUAGUCUAAAUUUAAUUGGGUGCAUAUAUAUAUAUAUAUACAUAUAUAUAUAUAUACAUAUUGAUACAGGGUCUCAGUAUGUAACCCUGGCUGGCCUGAAACUCUCUAUGCAGACCAGGCUGGCCCCAAACAAGGAUCCACUUGUUUAUGCUUCCCAAGUACUGAGAUUAAAGAUGUACACCAAUGUCCAAGGAUUCCACUUAAAACUGAAAGAGACCUCACUAAUGAGAAGUUAGAAGUAUCUGCCAAACACUGCAUCAAAAAAGGGAACAGGAUCCCUGAUGACUGCAACAUCUGGGUGGACAUGAGGUUCCAGUCCUAAUAGCAGCUGGAGCUUCUGAAGGCCACAGUAACCAUCCAGUUCCUUUCAUGGAAAACAUCAAAUUGGGACUAUGGAAGAAAAGCUGCUGGCUGACCAGCUGCUUACACUUGGAAAAUAACAGCACAAGGCUCCUGGUACCAAAUUUACUAAGAGUUUCAAGACUGUUAUACCAAAACAUUAACUGAAGCAUGGAGCAUGUCAGGACAUUAUAGGCAUAAGGUUAUUGGUAAUUCAAAUGCUGACUUCUGUAUCUGUUUAUAAGCCUUGUUCUGAGAAUCUCAGUCGCAAUGUUUGUAUAAACUCUGUUCCCCAAUGGUCCUCUGAAAUGUCAAUAAAGCAGCUUACAGCCAAUCGCUGAGCAGGGAAGAGAAUAGGGCUGGACUUCCUGUCAGCCAGGGGAGUUAGAGGAGAGGAAGCAGGGAAUUCAGCCAAGGGAUUCAGCCAUGGGCAGAGGUCCAAGAGACACCAGGAGCGAGAGCUCAUGGGCAAAGCUACAAAGUGCAAGUACCCUGGGAGGAAGCCAAAUUAGCUUAAAGGGUUAAGAGUAGAGUAAUAUCAGUUCAGGCAUUUGCAGAGAUGACAAGAAGGCCUCUGAUGGCCAUGGAGCUGUUGUGAACUGCUCUUACAAGUUUGGGAACAGAAUCCAAGUCCUCUGGAAAAACAUAUCCUUCCAGACCCAGAUGUUUCCUAUAUCCACAACAGCACCAAAGCAGCUACCACAAGUGUUCCAGUCUGAACUCACAGACUUCCAUCAAGCUGGACCUGCACUUUCCCUCCCAGCCAUGGAUGUUCUCACAGACCCCAGACAACAUCAGAACAGCCUGUUCUUCCUGGACUUGGCCAGCAUUUCAGCCUUUUGACACUCCCUACACUGCCCCCAGCAGGAAGUAGCCAGAAGAGAAUCUAUGCCCAUUAUUCACUUAUUAACAAAAGGAUGGAAUGGUGUGCUUCAGGACCAGAACAGGCAGCUCCAGGUUCUCCAGCAUUCCUCAUUCUCUACCUGCUGCUGUGUGUGGCUGGCAGCUCUCUACUGGCAACCCUCUACCCUGAACUCUCCAGGGAAGGUGCUUCCCCUCCUUCUCUUGAUCAUGUAAUCUGGACAUUUUGUUGCUAUUUUUUCUCUCCUUUACCCCCUUGCAUGGCAACCAAGAGCUGUUUCCAAUGAACCUAAAUUUAAAUACUUUAACUUGUCUUAAAUGGAAGCAGUGCAAGCUCUUUAGUUUUUAUAGAAAAAGGGAGGAAUGUUAGUAUCUAGGCAGCCUAGAAACCUAUGAUGUCAUCAUCUGUCACCCACCAGGUAGCCAUACCUGGCAGGUGUGGUUACGUUGCUCCUUAAAAGGUUCAACCCACCACUUUGUCACUCUCUUGUCCUCUUGUCUAUUGCCCUCUUACCCUCUUGCCCUCUUCCUUUUCUCUGUUGGGGCACCCCCUCCCUUUCCUUUAUCAUGUCUCAAUCUCUCCUCUAAUCUCUCUUCACCUCCAUCUAAUAAACCUCUUUCAUAUAAAAUCUGUGCACAUCAUC